GACGAACGCUGGCGGCGUGCUUAACACAUGCAAGUCGAACGGUAAGGCCCUUCGGGGUACACGAGUGGCGAACGGGUGAGUAACACGUGGGUGAUCUGCCCUGCACUUCGGGAUAAGCCUGGGAAACUGGGUCUAAUACCGGAUAGGACCCUGGGAUGCAUGUCCUGGGGUGGAAAGCUUUUGCGGUGUGGGAGGGGCCCGCGGACUAUCAGCUUGUUGGUGGGGUGAUGGCCUACCAAGGCGACGACGGGUAGCCGGCCUGAGAGGGUGACCGGCCACACGGGGACUGAGAUACGGCCCAGACACCGACGGGAGGCAGCAGUGGGGAAUAUUGCACAAUGGGCGCAAGCCUGAUGCAGCGACGCCGCGUGAGGGAUGACGGCCUUCGGGUUGUAAACCUCUUUCAGCACCGACGAAGCGCAAGUGACGGUAGGUGCAGAAGAAGGACCGGCCAACUACGUGCCAGCCGCCGCCGUAA
Molecule: ribosomal RNA, 478 nt
Filed under: uncultured bacterium
Lineage: Bacteria
Description: partial 16S ribosomal RNA
Rfam family: Bacterial small subunit ribosomal RNA
Source: RNAcentral